RNAcentral lists this long non-coding RNA (594 nucleotides) under Medicago truncatula (barrel medic). RNAcentral describes it as "lncRNA gene15802". Lineage: Eukaryota; Viridiplantae; Streptophyta; Magnoliopsida; Fabales; Fabaceae. The record is from RNAcentral.
UGUUAGUAGGAUUCAAUUUACAUAAUGAUCUUAAUGUAAUUAACUUAUAUAAAAAACUUCUAACUAAUCACAACUAACUUCUACUUCCUUAACAAGUAUUAAGCUAAUUCUAAUUAAUAUGUAACUAUAUCUUCCACAAAAAAGCAAGUCACCAGUCUCACCUUUUUUAUCCAAAACCAAUUUUGAUAUCACAGAUACAAAGCUUGACCGUAGGUUCAAACUUCAAAUAACUGCCGUCGCAUUCACUGUCAAAUUAGUUCUUGGGACGAGUCUUCGAUCACAUGUCAGAAUCAGGAAACCAUAUGGUGACCGCUCAAAGUGCACUUUGGCAAAAUGUGGAUCUGAAAUCACUGUGUUCCAUGUUCUACAAACACAUUUACAUACGAGAACAGACUUGAUGGGAAGUCGAAGCAGGACGUCGGUGGCGAUUGGAAAUGGAAGAUCAGCAAAAGAAGGACUAAGUUCUUGAGUUUCUACUACAUCAACUUUUUCUUUCCCUGUUUUGCCUCUUUUCGUAUCCCUUGGAGAAGGGAUUAAGCUUCUUUUCCUUUCCAUAGCCACACACUGAGCUCAGUGAUGAAGUUUGGCGGCAGU